Molecule: ribosomal RNA, 253 nt
Filed under: uncultured bacterium
Lineage: Bacteria
Description: partial 16S ribosomal RNA
Rfam family: Bacterial small subunit ribosomal RNA
Source: RNAcentral
UACAGAGGGGGCAAGCGUUGUUCGGAAUUACUGGGCGUAAAGGGCGCGUAGGCGGCCCGCUAAGUCGAACGUGAAAUCCCCGGGCUCAACCCGGGAACUGCGUCCGAUACUGGUGGGCUUGAAUCCGGGAGAGGGAUGCGGAAUUCCAGGUGUAGCGGUGAAAUGCGUAGAUAUGACAUAGAACACCAAUUGCGAAGGCAGCUGGCUACACAAAUAUUGACGCUGAGGCACGAAAGCGUGGGGAUCAAACAGG